Numida meleagris (helmeted guineafowl) is the source of this 350-nucleotide long non-coding RNA. RefSeq lists it as uncharacterized. The transcript is spliced from 3 exons. NCBI's taxonomy places the organism in Eukaryota, Metazoa, Chordata, Aves, Galliformes, Numididae. The record is from RefSeq and is a predicted model, not a curated record.
GGUGAAUCUGGAAAACAGUCUUUCCAGUGGUAAUUAGCAGUUCUGCUUCUCUUCUUGGCUGUAAUAAGGUGAAGUGAGAUGACAGCAGUGAGAGAGGAUGAGUUGAUUGAGCAAGAUGAGAAGGUGACUCUUCUGGAGGAAAUGCUACAGACAGUUCAGUUCUAUUGAGGAAAACACUUCUUUGACAUACUACCAUUUAGAGUGUCACAGUUCAAGACUCCUUGAAAGAAGAUGACUGUUUGAUCAUUCUGGAGAUCUGGACCCAUUAGUAAAUUGAAGACCUUAGAAGUUGUUCCCCUAAAGACAGCGUCUGGAUGUUUGCAAUUUCACCUUAACAACUCAAGGAAGUU